GAUGAACGCUGGCGGCGUGCUUAACACAUGCAAGUCGAACGGAAAGACUCCUGCUUUCCUGGUUACUCGAUUGGCGCACGGGUGAGUAACACGUGUGUGAUCUGCCCUGCACUUCCGGAUAAGCCUGGGAAACUGGGUCUAAUACCCGAUAUGACGUUGUUUUUGAUGUCAUUGUGUAAAGUUUUUCGGUUUUGGAUGGGCUCGCGGCCUAUGCGCUUGUUGGUCGGGUAAUGGCCUACCAAGGCGGCGACCGGUAGCCCGCCUGGGAGGGUGUACGGCGACAAUGGGCCUGAGAGACGGACCAGAAGCCUACGGGAGGCAGUAGGGGGGAGUAUUGCGGAAUGGGCGCAAGCGUGAUGCAGAGACGUCGGGUGGGGGAUGACGGCCUUCGGGGUGUAAACACAUGUCGAAGGGGACGAAGCGAAAGUGACGGUACCUGGAUAAGAAGCAACGGCUAACUACGUG
RNAcentral lists this ribosomal RNA (465 nucleotides) under uncultured bacterium. Its description in RNAcentral is "partial 16S ribosomal RNA". It matches the Rfam family "Bacterial small subunit ribosomal RNA", at positions 28 to 507 of the family's 1533-position model. The record is from RNAcentral.